ACAGUUUGCUUGGGAGCACAUUGGUGGCCUGUUGUUAUGGUCCUAGAAAAAAGGCAAGGGUGUUUGAGGAAGUUAGUCCUGGAAGGAAUCCUUUCCGUGGGGCAGUGACCUGUGUUGUAAUAAGGAAAGCAGAGGGAAGAGUUGAGGGUUAAUAUGCUUUGGACGGCGGAGGAAAAAAAUACCAUGUUACAUUGGUGGCUGGUACUCGGUUUUUGAUCUUCCUCUGCCUCCACGGUCUGACGCCCGGCCUCGUGCCUCUGCCGCACCGACGUCUACACCAUCCAACCACCACCACCUGCUGGCUGCUGUGGGACUCAGGGCGCCCAGCACUCCGGCAGGCUUCCCCAUCGCCAUGACGCCCUGCUUACAGCUGCCCGCCAAGGAGAGCGUCCUCUUCAAGCAUGUGCUGCCCUAAAAACAAGAAACUUGGCGGUCAGAAGCAGAUAUUCUAGAAGGGUUGUAUCUUGAGAAGAUGGAGGUCAGCUGCCACACCCCUCCGAGGCUCUGAGGACACUGCAGAAGGUGGUGGGGAGAACACAAGAGCCAGAGGAUGGAGAGGAGCAGUGUGUGACACAUGCACGGAUGUCGUACUUGUGACCUCACGGCAUCUGUGUCUACCACACGAGACCUUCUGGAGUUAGGAUGUGCCAGCAUUCCAUGGUGGAUCCAAGAGGGGCUUAUGAGGUCUCUCUUCUCCCCGAGGAGCUGUGUGACAGGUGCGAGGUCACCCACACGAAGAGUUGUCAAAGAAACAUCAAAGAUUCUCUGACCCGGAGCUCCAAAAUCUCUCCACCUGACUCGCUAAGUUCCCAUGGUGGGUCACUGCCACGCCAGCUCCAUGCAUCCAAAUUUACACGGCUAGCUGGGGUGCACUUCUUGCAAACUCACACUCUGCUGCCAUACAUUUUUCUCUGGAACCCAGAACAGAUGCCUCAUGAAGGAAAACAUCGCGACAUCUUAUUUUAGAAUCAACAGAUAACUCAAUUAUUGGACACAGCAACAAUCGUCCUAUUUGUAAGCCAUUCUAAGUUAAAUCCUCCAGUGGUGAAUCCUGGCAGACCCGACAUCUAAACCAGGGGCCUCUUGUUUGCUUCACCUUCCUUCAAGCUCUCCUGGUCCAAAUCAAGUCACCCUUUCCUGCCUCCUCUUUUCCCUCGUCCAACCCGGAAGUCCUGCCUACUUCUCACCCAGUGAUUGGUCCCCUGAAAUCUUUAUUUAUUAGGGGAAGGUUCUGCCACAUAGACCAAAGACAUAGAAUCAAAUACCCAAUAUAUCCACACGGCUACAUCCACCUGAUCAUGUAGAACAAUGACAUAGAAUCAGAUACCUGCAACUAAUUCCACAAAGGGUCACCCACCUGAUUUUCCUGAAGUGAUCCAACAGUAGACACCGAGAAAGGACCUUCGGCAAAUGGUGCCAUGGACACUGGGUAGCCAAGCUUGAGAGAGUGAUACUAGAUCCAUAUCUGUCACCUUGUACACAGCCAAUUCAAAAUGUCAGACCUGAAACUGCCAGAGAAAAGCACAGGAAAAAAUGCCUCAUUAUAUAGGCAUGAGCAAGGACUUUCUGAGAAGGACUCUAAGAACUGACAAAUGGAAUGACAUUAAAUUAAAAGGCUUCCGUACAACCCAGGCGACAACAGUGAAGAGAGAUUCCAUAAAGUGGAAGAAAUCUUUGACAAGUAAACACCUCAUAGAGAGCUAAUAUCUAGAAUACAUGAAGGAAUGAAAAAUUGGACACCCCAAAUGAUCUAAUUAGUAAAUGAGCAAAUGAAACAAACUGAUAGUUUUAAUACAAAUUCUCAACUAAUAUUUUUCAAGAAGUUCAACAUUCUUAGUCACAGAGAAGUGCAAAUCAAAACUUCUUGGUAUCCCAUUUCACCCUUCAGAGUGGCAGCCCUGAGGACGACGAACAACAGAUGCUGGUGAGGGGAGAGGAAACGGAAACUCUUAUACACUUCGGUGGGCGAGUAAAUUAUUCUGGCUUUCUGGAAAUCAGUGUAGAGAUUUAUCAAAGGUUAAAAAUAGAACAACCAUAUGUGUGACUCCACUCUGGGACUACGUCCGUAAAAUAACCCCAGGUCAGCAUACGACAGAGACACCUACAAGCUGUGUUUACCGUGACAAUAUUUACAAUGGCCUAGUUAUGAAAUCAGCGUAGGCAUCCAAUGACAGAUAGUUCAUGCACACAAUGGAGUUUUGUUCAGCCAUAGAGAAGAAUAAAAUUACAGCAUUUGUAUGAAAACAGCUAGAACUGGGGGUCCUCAUAUUAAAUCAAAUAAGGCAGAACCAGAUUGUGUGUGUUCAUUUAUACAUUAACACAUAUAGCAUGAAAGUAUCAGGGUGAUUGCCUGGGACAGAGAGGGAACUAUUUGGGGUGGGGAGGAGAGGAUGAGGUAAGAGGACAUAUACGUGUGACAAUGUAGUCAAAGUGUUGAUGUGUAUAAAAGUGUUUUUUCAGUGCUCAUCACCAUGUAUGAUAAAUACACAUCACUAAAAUGUAAGCUUGAUUUAUUCUUUAUUUUACUUAAUCCUUUUAACUAAGAUAACAUCCAGUUUACCUGGUUGCUUUCUAUUUAAGCUUAAAGUAUUUGAAUGCAUAUGUUUUUGUGUCUACUGUGGCAGCAAGCUAAUCUAUUCAAAAUCAGGUCACCAAUAUAAAAAGAUCGAUCAAUAAAAGCUUUUGAAUUUUGUACAAGCCAAACUGGGUUAAAAGUUUUAAAAUUUAUUAUAUUUAUUUAUAGAUUUUAUCAGUAUCUCAAAUGAUACUUAAAAUACCAUCAUUUUACAUAUAACCAUAUAUGCACAUAUUCUUAGUUUAUAACUAAAUUUUUAUAUUUUUAUAUUUUUUUGUAUGAAGUCUCUCUAAAAUGGCUUCAAUAAAUCCUAGACGACAUGGUUUCUCUAUUAUUCCACUUGAAAUUACCAGUUAGGUCAUGAUUUUCUGUGAUAAAGUCUAGGACCACUAUAAAAUGUUGUACAGUUUUUAUUUCCUUAGAUCCAUUUUGAGCUAAGUGAUUCAUAUAAUUUUGGAUUAAUGAUGCCUAAUAAUUACAUGCAUUUUAUCUUUUACUUCUUUCUGUUUUUUUAAGUGCAUUUUAGUUUUGGGGGCAGAGUUUCACAUUGUAGUGCAAACGGGCCUUGAAUUUAUUGCCUUUACCCUGUCUUAGCCUCAGGUGAUGGGAUUAUGGCUGUGAUUAUGCCCAACUAAACUCAUGUUUAUUUAUGUGGAGAUUUCUUGACAAAUUCAAGAUUUCAGGACCCAAGCAACCGAAAAUAAAGAAUAGCACAUAAUUUUUAAUUCAUUAAAAUGCUUUUGGGCUACAGAAAGUACAGAGUACAAGUAUAUAUUUCUUUAUAUUUUUUCCUCAGAAUAAAUCUUAUUAAAAGCUGCCAAUCCCACAGAAGGUAUAUCUUUCUGGACAGUUUGGCUUCUGUAAGAAUCAAUGCAAUGCCCAUCCAGUAAAUUUAAUCCCUAAUACACGAGUCUUCCAAGAACAUAGGAAACAAGCACAUAUAAUUUCCAACUUUACUGUCUACAUAUUUAUAUCGAUAAGCUUAUGUAUGUAAUUUCUAUCUUUACUAUCUAUAUACUUAUAUCUAGAAACUUGUCUAUAUUAUCUAUGUACACACACAAACACACACACAUAUUAUGAUAAAGGUAAAAUAUGAUAACUGUGACACUCAAGUAAAUAAAUAAUUAAUUUUCUAUUUUAUGAGACAGCUGCAGAAGCAGAUUUAGAGGACUGCAGAGACCAUACGGCCUCACCCAUGCUUCACUUCGCUGUCCUUAAUGCUUCCCCUCUUCCAGACCACAGUCCAUUUACCGUAAUUACUAAGUGACGCUAGUGCUACAAACGAAAAUUCGGUCCUUCCUCUGGAUAGCAUGGUAUUGGAGUCCUAAUUCAAAAUGCAUUUCUAUUUAACGUUAUGCUUCUGUGAGUUUCUAAACUGUCCUGUUCUCAUUUCUGCCUAUGAAGAAUUUCGCCUAGUUAGUGGGAUCUAAUCCUGCAUUUGUUAGAAUAUUUGGUUUGGUUUGAUGCAUUUUCAUGGGGGCUAAACUGAUCAGUCUUUUGUCAGCUACACACAAACCUAGGGGUACAUGGAAAGAAGGGCGUUUCGAUUGAGGAACUGCCUCCCUUGCGUUAGCCUCUGGGCAUGUCUCUGGGGACUUUCUCUAUUGCUAAAUGAUGUUGAAGGCCCACUGUGAGCAGUGCCAUUCCUGGUCCAUGGUCCUGGGUUCAAAAGGAAAUGCGCUGGGCAAGAAGCAAACAAGGGAGCAGCUUUC
RNA transcript from Rattus norvegicus (Norway rat), 4287 nucleotides. RefSeq lists it as uncharacterized. The record is from RefSeq and is a predicted model, not a curated record. Lineage: Eukaryota; Metazoa; Chordata; Mammalia; Rodentia; Muridae.